CAACGACACUAACCGACGUCUGCUUCAACAGCCUGGUAGGGCUGCAGCUGUGGAAGGUCUACAGCAAUGCGGUUCAAAGUACAGUACAAAGGAAAGAAGAAGUACGUCAAACUAAAUGGAGCCCCACACUCGGAAUUUCUUAAGGAGGCUAAAAUGAAGUUGAGUAUACCCACUGAAAAAGACAUAUAUUUACUGGAUGACACUGGAACAGAGGUCAAUGAAGAGGUCUUCAGUGACAUUCUGGAGGAAAAAACAGACAUCCUGUGGACGAUUGUUGACACUUUCAGUCACUGGAGCAUUUCUUUGAUGCCGAUAGCAAUGAGGGCUACAUUUUCUGGAAGCUUAAAAACACACAGCGAGAACUCAGCAGUAGCAGUAAAGUUCGGAGAAGGAGCUCUCAAACCUCAGACAGCAGCGGAUCAGAGUUGGAGUUGGAGUUGGAGAGGGAAGUGACUAAAGACCAACAGCUGGAGGGAGACCAGUGCUGCGAGGCCAUAACUCUAUUGAAACACACCACAGAUAAAGAACAGAUCUUCAUGAAAAUGAGAACAACCUUCCAGCACAGACAGAAGUUGAUCCAUGAUCCAGAGCGAUGCAGCACAGUGCUUACAGUUUUCCCAAGAUUCCUUGACACAAAAGGCUUUGUUCCACAAGACUUUGAGCUGUAGUUUGGAGCAGAGACUUCAUCAAAAUUCUUGGAGAAAUGGGGUACACUCCUGAAGGUGAAAAUCAUUGAGCAAGCCAAAAAACUCAGUAAGACCUCCCAGCUUGACUAUGUCAUUUAGUCUGCAGACAAGAACCCUGAUGAGGAUGGGGAUAAGGAGGUCCCAGGUGCAUCACAUGCUGAAAUCAGAGUUUCUCCUCCCCUCUUCUCAUGUUGGGAUAGUGACAUGGCCUCAGUUCUCCUGCUGGUCUACCUCCUGCCACCAAGUGGAAAGAAGGGAGCCAUGAAGAUCAAUAUCCCGGAAGCUGUGGAUCACGUAGUGAAGUUUCAUAAGUCAGGUCGAAGCCUACGAGAGCACUCUGGUCCAGCC
Molecule: long non-coding RNA, 1034 nt
Organism: Cynoglossus semilaevis (tongue sole)
Lineage: Eukaryota; Metazoa; Chordata; Actinopteri; Pleuronectiformes; Cynoglossidae
Exons: 7
Source: RefSeq, a predicted model, not a curated record